Molecule: ribosomal RNA, 508 nt
Filed under: Faecalibacterium prausnitzii M21/2
Lineage: Bacteria; Bacillati; Bacillota; Clostridia; Eubacteriales; Oscillospiraceae
Description: SSU rRNA
Rfam family: Bacterial small subunit ribosomal RNA
Source: RNAcentral
AGGACGAACGCUGGCGGCGCGCCUAACACAUGCAAGUCGAACGAGCGAGAGAGAGCUUGCUUUCUCAAGCGAGUGGCGAACGGGUGAGUAACGCGUGAGGAACCUGCCUCAAAGAGGGGGACAACAGUUGGAAACGACUGCUAAUACCGCAUAAGCCCACGACCCGGCAUCGGGUAGAGGGAAAAGGAGCAAUCCGCUUUGAGAUGGCCUCGCGUCCGAUUAGCUAGUUGGUGAGGUAACGGCCCACCAAGGCGACGAUCGGUAGCCGGACUGAGAGGUUGAACGGCCACAUUGGGACUGAGACACGGCCCAGACUCCUACGGGAGGCAGCAGUGGGGAAUAUUGCACAAUGGGGGAAACCCUGAUGCAGCGACGCCGCGUGGAGGAAGAAGGUCUUCGGAUUGUAAACUCCUGUUGUUGAGGAAGAUAAUGACGGUACUCAACAAGGAAGUGACGGCUAACUACGUGCCAGCAGCCGCGGUAAAACGUAGGUCACAAGCGUUGUCCG